CCUACGGGUGGCUGCAGUAAGGAAUAUUGGUCAAUGGGCGCGAGCCUGAACCAGCCAUGCCGCGUGCAGGAAGACGGCCUUAUGGGUUGUAAACUGCUUUUAUCGGGGAAUAAAACUUUCUACGUGUAGAGAGCUGAAGGUACCCGAAGAAUAAGCAUCGGCUAACUCCGUGCCAGCAGCCGCGGUAAUACGGAGGAUGCAAGCGUUAUCCGGAUUAAUUGGGUUUAAGGGGUAUGCAGACGGAUUGGUAGAAAUUCUAGUGCUUAACAUUAGACCUGCCAUUGAUACUGUCAGGCUAGAGUAUAGUUGGAGUGGGCGGAAUGUGUCAUGUAGCGGUGAAAUGCUUAGAUAUGACACAGAACACCGAUCGCGAAGGCAGCUCACUAAGCUAAAACUGACGCUCAUGCACGAAAGCGUGGGGAUCAAACAGGAUUAGAUACCCGAGUAGUC
This 450-nucleotide ribosomal RNA is filed under the name uncultured bacterium. RNAcentral describes it as "partial 16S ribosomal RNA". It matches the Rfam family "Bacterial small subunit ribosomal RNA", at positions 338 to 795 of the family's 1533-position model. The record is from RNAcentral.